This 253-nucleotide ribosomal RNA is filed under the name uncultured bacterium. RNAcentral describes it as "partial 16S ribosomal RNA". It matches the Rfam family "Bacterial small subunit ribosomal RNA", at positions 524 to 776 of the family's 1533-position model. The record is from RNAcentral.
UACAGAGGGGGCAAGCGUUGUUCGGAAUUACUGGGCGUAAAGGGCGCGUAGGCGGCCUGUUAAGUCGAACGUGAAAUCCCCGGGCUCAACCCGGGAACUGCGUCCGAUACUGGUAGGCUUGAAUCCGGGAGAGGGAUGCGGAAUUCCAGGUGUAGCGGUGAAAUGCGUAGAUAUCUGGAGGAACACCGGUGGCGAAGGCGGCAUCCUGGACCGGUAUUGACGCUGAGGCGCGAAAGCCAGGGGAGCAAACGGG